RNAcentral lists this ribosomal RNA (403 nucleotides) under bacterium. Its description in RNAcentral is "partial 16S ribosomal RNA". It matches the Rfam family "Bacterial small subunit ribosomal RNA", at positions 355 to 776 of the family's 1533-position model. The record is from RNAcentral.
UGGGGAAUAUUGCACAAUGGAGGGAACUCUGAUGCAGCGACGCCGCGUGAACGAAGAAGGCUUUCGAGUCGUAAAGUUCUUUUAUAUGGGAAGAUAAUGACGGUACCAUAAGAAAAAGCCCCGGCUAACUACGAGCCAGCAGCCGCGGUAAUACGUAGGGGGCUAGCGUUGUCCGGAAUCACUGGGCGUAAAGGGUUCGCAGGCGGAAAUGCAAGUCAGGUGUAAAAGGCAGUAGCUUAACUACUGUAAGCAUUUGAAACUGCAUAUCUUGAGAAGAGUAGAGGUAAGUGGAAUUUUUAGUGUAGCGGUGAAAUGCGUAGAUAUUAAAAAGAAUACCGGUGGCGAAGGCGACUUACUGGGCUCAUUCUGACGCUGAGGAACGAAAGCGUGGGUAGCAAACAGG